RNAcentral lists this ribosomal RNA (497 nucleotides) under uncultured bacterium. RNAcentral's name for it is "partial 16S ribosomal RNA". It matches the Rfam family "Bacterial small subunit ribosomal RNA", at positions 28 to 507 of the family's 1533-position model. The record is from RNAcentral.
GAUGAACGCUGGCGGCGUGCCUAAUACAUGCAAGUCGAGCGAACAGACGAGGAGCUUGCUCCUCUGACGUUAGCGGCGGACGGGUGAGUAACACGUGGAUAACCUACCUAUAAGACUGGGAUAACUUCGGGAAACCGGAGCUAAUACCGGAUAAUAUAUUGAACCGCAUGGUUCAAUAGUGAAAGACGGUUUUGCUGUCACUUAUAGAUGGAUCCGCGCCGCAUUAGCUAGUUGGUAAGGUAACGGCUUACCAAGGCAACGAUGCGUAGCCGACCUGAGGGGGUGAUCGGCCACACUGGAACUGAGACACGGUCCAGACUCCUACGGGAGGCAGCAGUAGGGAAUCUUCCGCAAUGGGCGAAAGCCUGACGGAGCAACGCCGCGUGAGUGAUGAAGGUCUUCGGAUCGUAAAACUCUGUUGUUAGGGAAGAACAAAUGUGUAAGUAACUAUGCACGUCUUGACGGUACCUAAUCAGAAAGCCACGGCUAACUACGUG